GGUGAACCUGCGGAAGGAUCAUUAGUGAUUGCCAUCUUGGCUUAAACUAUAUCCAUCUACACCUGUGAACCGUUUGAUUGAAUCUUCUGAUUCAAUUUUACAAACAUUGUGUAAUGAACGUCAUUAGAUCAUAACAAAAAAAAACUUUUAACAACGGAUCUCUUGGCUCUCGCAUCGAUGAAGAACGCAGCGAAAUGCGAUAAGUAAUGUGAAUUGCAGAAUUCAGUGAAUCAUCGAAUCUUUGAACGCAACUUGCGCUCUCUGGUAUUCCGGAGAGCAUGCCUGUUUGAGUGUCAUGAAAUCUCAACCAUUAGGGUUUCUUAAUGGCUUGGAUUUGGAGGUUGCCAUUCUAAAUGGCUCCUCUUAAAGGAGUUAGCAAGUUUUACUAUUGCUAUCUGGCGUAAUAAGUUUCGCUGGAAUGGUAUUGUGAAGCGUGCUUCUAAUCGUCUUCGGACAAUUACUUUGACUCUGGCCUCAAAUCAGGUAGGACUACCCGCUGAACUUAAGCAUAUCAAUAAGCGGAGGA
RNAcentral lists this small RNA (526 nucleotides) under Apiotrichum dulcitum. RNAcentral describes it as "eukaryotic LSU rRNA". The stretch from base 143 to 296 matches the Rfam family "5.8S ribosomal RNA". The record is from RNAcentral. Lineage: Eukaryota; Fungi; Basidiomycota; Tremellomycetes; Trichosporonales; Trichosporonaceae.